Molecule: ribosomal RNA, 468 nt
Filed under: uncultured bacterium
Lineage: Bacteria
Description: partial 16S ribosomal RNA
Rfam family: Bacterial small subunit ribosomal RNA
Source: RNAcentral
GAUGAACGCUGGCGGCGUGCCUAACACAUGCAAGUCGAGCGAUUCUCUUCGGAGAAGAGCGGCGGACGGGUGAGUAACGCGUGGGUAACCUGCCCUGUACACACGGAUAACAUACCGAAAGGUAUGCUAAUACGGGAUAAUAUGCUUUAGUCGCAUGGCUGAAGUAUCAAAGCUCCGGCGGUACAGGAUGGACCCGCGUCUGCUUAGCUAGUUGGUAAGGUAACGGCUUACCAAGGCGACGAUCAGUAGCCGACCUGAGAGGGUGAUCGGCCCUAUCUGAACUCAGACACGGUCCCAACGCCUCCGGGAUGCAGCAGUGGGGAAUAUUGCACCCUGGGCGAAAGGCUGGUGCAGCAGCGCCGCGUGAGCGACUAAGGCCUUCUGGUCGUAAAGCUCUGUCCUCAAGGAAGCUAAUGCCGGUACUUGAGGAGGAAGCCCCGGCUAACUACGUGCCAGCAGCCGCAGUAA